AAUAUUAGUUAAGGUCUUUAAACCCAAAGAAUUUGGCGGUAUUUUAUUCCAUUCAGAGGAACCUAUCCCGUAAUUGAUAGUACACGAUUAACUUUACUUAAUUUAUUUGUUUGUAUAUCUCCGUUAUCAGAGAAUCUUUUUAGAGUUAUAAUUUUCUGAAUUUAUAAUUGUAAAGUAUUUCAGGUCAAGGUGCAGCUUAUAAUUAAGAGGAGGUGGGUUACAAUAAAUUAAUUUAAAACGGAUUUAAUAAUAAAUAUUAUUAAUGAAGGUGAAUUUGAUAGUAAUUUAAUUUAUUUUAUUUAUUUGAUAUUGGCUCUAAAGUGUGU
This 326-nucleotide ribosomal RNA is filed under the name Tela neeavora. Its description in RNAcentral is "partial 12S ribosomal RNA". The record is from RNAcentral. Lineage: Eukaryota; Metazoa; Arthropoda; Insecta; Orthoptera; Acrididae.